AUUAGCUAGUUGGUAAGGUAAAGGCUUACCAAGGCAACGAUCUCUAGCUGUUCUGAGAGGAAGAUCAGCCACACUGGAACUGAGACACGGUCCAGACUCCUACGGGAGGCAGCAGUGGGGAAUAUUGCACAAUGGGGGAAACCCUGAUGCAGCCAUGCCGCGUGUGUGAAGAAGGCCUUCGGGUUGUAAAGCACUUUCAGUUGUGAGGAAAAGUUAGUAGUUAAUACCUGCUAGCCGUGACGUUAACAACAGAAGAAGCACCGGCUAACUCCGUGCCAGCAGCCGCGGUAAUACGGAGGGUGCGAGCGUUAAUCGGAAUUACUGGGCGUAAAGCGCACGCAGGCGGUUUGUUAAGCUAGAUGUGAAAGCCCCGGGCUCAACCUGGGAUGGUCAUUUAGAACUGGCAGACUAGAGUCUUGGAGAGGGGAGUGGAAUUCCAGGUGUAGCGGUGAAAUGCGUAGAUAUCUGGAGGAACAUCAGUGGCGAAGGCGACUCCCUGGCCAAAGACUGACGCUCAUGUGCGAAAGUGUGGGUAGCGAACAGGAUUAGAUACCCUGGUAGUCCACACCGUAAACGCUGUCUACUAGCUGUUUGUGACUUUAAGUCGUGAGUAGCGAAGCUAACGCGAUAAGUAGACCGCCUGGGGAGUACGGCCGCAAGGUUAAAACUCAAAUGAAUUGACGGGGGCCCGCACAAGCGGUGGAGCAUGUGGUUUAAUUCGAUGCAACGCGAAGAACCUUACCUACACUUGACAUGCAGAGAACUUUCCAGAGAUGGAUUGGUGCCUUCGGGAACUCUGACACAGGUGCUGCAUGGCUGUCGUCAGCUCGUGUCGUGAGAUGUUGGGUUAAGUCCCGCAACGAGCGCAACCCUUGUCCUUAGUUGCCAGCAUUCAGUUGGGCACUCUAAGGAGACUGCCGGUGACAAACCGGAGGAAGGUGGGGACGACGUCAAGUCAUCAUGGCCCUUACGUGUAGGGCUACACACGUGCUACAAUGGCAUUUACAGAGGGAAGCGAGACAGUGAUGUGGAGCGGACCCCUUAAAGAA
Molecule: ribosomal RNA, 1049 nt
Filed under: Alteromonas macleodii
Lineage: Bacteria; Pseudomonadati; Pseudomonadota; Gammaproteobacteria; Alteromonadales; Alteromonadaceae
Description: bacterial SSU rRNA
Rfam family: Bacterial small subunit ribosomal RNA
Source: RNAcentral